RNAcentral lists this ribosomal RNA (661 nucleotides) under uncultured Lachnospiraceae bacterium. RNAcentral describes it as "bacterial SSU rRNA". It matches the Rfam family "Bacterial small subunit ribosomal RNA", at positions 55 to 715 of the family's 1533-position model. Lineage: Bacteria; Bacillati; Bacillota; Clostridia; Lachnospirales; Lachnospiraceae. The record is from RNAcentral.
AUGCAAGUCGAACGAAGCACUGUAAUGAAUUUCUUCGGAAUGAAGUUUUUGUGACUGAGUGGCGGACGGGUGAGUAACGCGUGGGUAACCUGCCUCAUACAGGGGGAUAACAGUUGGAAACGACUGCUAAUACCGCAUAAGCGCACAGGAUUGCAUGAUCCAGUGUGAAAAACUCCGGUGGUAUGAGAUGGACCCGCGUCUGAUUAGCCAGUUGGCGGGGUAACGGCCCACCAAAGCGACGAUCAGUAGCCGACCUGAGAGGGUGACCGGCCACAUUGGGACUGAGACACGGCCCAAACUCCUACGGGAGGCAGCAGUGGGGAAUAUUGCACAAUGGGGGAAACCCUGAUGCAGCGACGCCGCGUGAGCGAAGAAGUAUUUCGGUAUGUAAAGCUCUAUCAGCAGGGAAGAAGAAUGACGGUACCUGACUAAGAAGCACCGGCUAAAUACGUGCCAGCAGCCGCGGUAAUACGUAUGGUGCAAGCGUUAUCCGGAUUUACUGGGUGUAAAGGGAGCGCAGGCGGUACGGUAAGUCUGAUGUGAAAUCCCGGGGCUCAACCCCGGUACUGCAUUGGAAACUGUCGGACUAGAGUGUCGGAGGGGUAAGUGGAAUUCCUAGUGUAGCGGUGAAAUGCGUAGAUAUUAGGAGGAACACCAGUGG